Molecule: ribosomal RNA, 535 nt
Filed under: uncultured archaeon
Lineage: Archaea
Description: bacterial SSU rRNA
Rfam family: Archaeal small subunit ribosomal RNA
Source: RNAcentral
AACUGCACAAUGCUGGGAACAGCGAUGCGGGAACUCCAAGUGCCGGCACAAAGUGUCGGCUGUUCCAUUGUCUAAAAAACAUAGGAAGUAAGGGCUGGGUAAGACGGGUGCCAGCCGCCGCGGUAAUACCUGCAGCCCGAGUGGUGGCCGUUAUUAUUGGGCCUAAAACGUCCGUAGCCGGUUGGGUAGAUGCCUGUGUAAAUCGAACGGCUUAACCGUUCGAAUUGCGGGUAGACCGCCCGACUAGGGACCGGGAGAGUCACGAAGUACUCCGGGGGUAGAGGUGAAAUUCUGUAAUCCUCGGGGGACUACCGGUGGCGAAGGCGUCGUGAUAGAACGGCUCCGACGGUGAGGGACGAAGCCCUGGGGCGCAAACCGGAUUAGAUACCCGGGUAGUCCAGGGUGUAAACGCUGCGGUCUUGGUGUCGGCAGUCCUACGAGGACAGCCGGUGCCGGAGAGAAGUUGUUAAGACCGCUGCCUGGGGAGUACGGCCGCAAGGUUGAAACUUAAAGGAAUUGGCGGGGGAGCACUGGU